RNAcentral lists this non-coding RNA (30 nucleotides) under Mus musculus (house mouse). Lineage: Eukaryota; Metazoa; Chordata; Mammalia; Rodentia; Muridae. The record is from RNAcentral.
CCAAAACUAAGACAGUGUGCUUCAAGGUAC